Molecule: ribosomal RNA, 496 nt
Filed under: uncultured bacterium
Lineage: Bacteria
Description: partial 16S ribosomal RNA
Rfam family: Bacterial small subunit ribosomal RNA
Source: RNAcentral
GAUGAACGCUGGCGGCGUGCCUAAUACAUGCAAGUCGAGCGAACAGAUGAGGAGCUUGCUCCUCUGACGUUAGCGGCGGACGGGUGAGUAACACGUGGAUAACCUACCUAUAAGACUGGGAUAACUUCGGGAAACCGGAGCUAAUACCGGAUAAUAUAUUGAACCGCAUGGUUCAAUAGUGAAAGACGGUUUUGCUGUCACUUAUAGAUGGAUCCGCGCCGCAUUAGCUAGUUUGUAAGGUAACGGCUUACCAAGGCAACGAUGCGUAGCCGACCUGAGAGGGUGAUCGGCCACACUGGAACUGAGACACGGUCCAGACUCCUACGGGAGGCAGCAGGAGGGAAUCUUCCGCAAUGGGCGAAAGCCUGACGGAGCAACGCCGCGGGAGUGAUGAAGGUCUUCGGAUCGUAAAACUCUGUUAUUAGGGAAGAACAAAUGUGUAAGUAACUAUGCACGUCUUGACGGUACCUAAGCAGAAAGCCACGGCUAACUACGU